GAUGAACGCUGGCGGCGUGCCUAAUACAUGCAAGUCGAGCGAACGGACGAGAAGCUUGCUUUUCUGAUGUUAGCGGCGGACGGGUGAGUAACACGUGGAUAACCUACCUAUAAGACUGGGAUAACUUCGGGAAACCGGAGCUAAUACCGGAUAAUAUUUUGAACCGCAUGGUUCAAAAGUGAAAGACGGUCUUGCUGUCACUUAUAGAUGAAUCCGCGCUGCAUUAGCUAGUUGGUAAGGUAACGGCUUACCAAGGCAACGAUGCAUAGCCGACCUGAGAGGGUGAUCGGCCACACUGGAACUGAGACGCGGUCCAGACUCCUACGGGAGGCAGCAGUAGGGAAUCUUCCGCAAUGGGCGAAAGCCUGACGGAGCAACGCCGCGUGAGUGAUGAAGGUCUUCGGAUCGUAAAACUCUGUUAUUAGGGAAGAACAUACGUGUAAGUAACUGUGCACAUCUUGACGGUACCUAAUCAGAAAGCCACGGCUAACUACGUG
RNAcentral lists this ribosomal RNA (497 nucleotides) under uncultured bacterium. Its description in RNAcentral is "partial 16S ribosomal RNA". It matches the Rfam family "Bacterial small subunit ribosomal RNA", at positions 28 to 507 of the family's 1533-position model. The record is from RNAcentral.